GGUUUUUAUUGAAUUAGAGUCAGUAUUAUAGACUUUGAAUGAUUUAUGUAAAAAAAAUAUAUUUAUGCCAAAAUUUAUCAAUGUUUUUGCCGUUACAAAGUUGACAUAGAAUAAAAUUACGGAGUAAUUUGUACUCACCAAAACUAAUCUAUAAUGAAAUGAAUCAAUGAUGUCAUCCUGUAACUUUAAGCACGUCAUCAGAGGAUGAAGAGUAAGUAGAGAGCACUUCCUUAGUUACAAGGG
RNAcentral lists this long non-coding RNA (243 nucleotides) under Mytilus galloprovincialis (Mediterranean mussel). Lineage: Eukaryota; Metazoa; Mollusca; Bivalvia; Mytilida; Mytilidae. The record is from RNAcentral.